Molecule: ribosomal RNA, 460 nt
Filed under: uncultured bacterium
Lineage: Bacteria
Description: partial 16S ribosomal RNA
Rfam family: Bacterial small subunit ribosomal RNA
Source: RNAcentral
CCUACGGGAGGCAGCAGUGAGGAAUAUUGGUCAAUGGACGAGAGUCUGAACCAGCCAAGUAGCGUGAAGGAUGACUGCCCUAUGGGUUGUAAACUUCUUUUAUAUGGGAAUAAAACGUUCCACGUGUGGGAUUUUGUAUGUACCAUAUGAAUAAGGAUCGGCUAACUCCGUGCCAGCAGCCGCGGUAAUACGGAGGAUCCGAGCGUUAUCCGGAUUUAUUGGGUUUAAAGUGAGCGUAGGUGGGUUGUUAAGUCAGUUGUGAAAGUUUGCGGCUCAACCGUAAAAUUGCAGUUGAAACUGGCAGUCUUGAGUACAGUAGAGGUGGGCGGAAUUCGUGGUGUAGCGGUGAAAUGCUUAGAUAUCACGAAGAACUCCGAUUGCGAAGGCAGUUCACUGGACUGCAACUGACACUGAGGCUCGAAAGUGUGGGUAUCAAACAGGAUUAGAUACCCCAGUAGUC